GGUCUUUUGAGUAUGAUUUAAGAUCCGGCCUGCCCAAUGAUUAUUUCAAUGGCUGCAGUAUUUUGACUGUACAAAGGUAGCGUAAUCAUUAGUUUUUUAAUUGAAAGCUUGUAUGAAUGGCUUAAUGAGAAAACUUCUGUCUCUUUCUAAAUUUUGGAGAACUUUAUUUUUGAGUUAAAAAGCUCAAAUAUAAUUAAAAGACGAGAAGACCCUAUAGAGUUUUAUAAUAUUAGGUUUUUAUACAAUAGGAAUCAUUGGUUAUUUAAAUACUAUUAUUAUUUAAUUGGGGUGAUUUUAAAAUUUAAUAAACUUUUAAUAUAUUUUUACAUAUAUAUAUGAGUAAUUGAUCCAAUGUUUUUGAUUAAAAGAUUAAAUUACCUUAGGGAUAACAGCGUAAUUUUUUUGGCGAGUUCUUAUCGAUAAAAAAGAUUGCGACCUCGAUGUUGGAUUAAAAUAAACUUUUGGCGCAGUUGUUGAGAAGUUGGGUCUGUUCGACCUUUAAAAUUUUACGUGAUC
This 516-nucleotide ribosomal RNA is filed under the name Dactylosternum sp. SLE0072. RNAcentral describes it as "partial 16S ribosomal RNA". It matches the Rfam family "Bacterial large subunit ribosomal RNA", at positions 1819 to 2605 of the family's 2925-position model. The record is from RNAcentral. Lineage: Eukaryota; Metazoa; Arthropoda; Insecta; Coleoptera; Hydrophilidae.